This is a long non-coding RNA of Anolis carolinensis (green anole), 1967 nucleotides long. RefSeq lists it as uncharacterized. The transcript is spliced from 2 exons. The record is from RefSeq and is a predicted model, not a curated record. Lineage: Eukaryota; Metazoa; Chordata; Lepidosauria; Squamata; Anolidae.
GAGAGAGAGAGCAGAUCAGUGUGAUCACCUAUCCACAAUAUCAUUUGGUCUGCAUUUCUAAGCAAACCAAAGUGAUCUAUGAUUUCUGAGUUAAUAGGUACACCAGAACAUGGUUAUGUUUUAGGUUUUGCUCUUCUCUGAAUUUUCUGAUACAAGCAAACAAUUCUGUAUUACAGUCCACAGGCCCAGCAAGUACAAAAUUCACAACAAAACACAAUUAUUAAAAAUUUACUAUAUAUAUUAAGAAUCAUACUAAUUUUUAUGCAUUAUGGAAACAUUAGGAAAUUUAUGGUUAACGAAACCACCUUCUUGGUCUCAAUCCAGUUCCAGACCUGCAAGUUUAAUCACCCGCACAACCAAAACCGUUUCCUCUCAAACCAUUUCCAAGCUACAUUAUAGUGUCAGUGUAGAUGUGAAUAUAAUGUACAGGAAUCUUGGCCUAUCAUUUAAGUCAAUGACUGGAACUCAAAACAGGUUUAAAUAAAACAAAUGCAAUAAAAUACAAUGAAUAAAAGGAUGAAUUAUGUAAAGCACAGUUUGUAUUUAUAAAUGUUAUCCACUAGAACAGUGGUUCUCAACCUGUGGGUCCCCAGGUGUUUUGGCCUAUAACUCCCAGAAAUCCCAGUGAGUUUAGCAGCUGUUAGGAUUUCUGGGAGUUGAAGGCCAAAACAUCUGGGGACCCACAGGUUGAGAAUCACUGCACUAGAAUAAAAAAUGCCCUCCCAUAUCCUUACUGUAUAUCUAACAAUGAAAUAAAUAAAUAUCAAUAACACCACAGCAAUUACUAAGACGCUCAUGCCAUCCACUCGUCAAAUUCAAUUUAUCUGCCAAACAACAAGAUUCAAAUUACUUAAAGUAACAGGCCACAAACCAUUAAAAUAUAGUAACAAUAGUCACAACACAAACUGUAAUGAACAAGAGGGAGGCUAAGAGCAAAAAGGAAUAGUGAAUUAAGUGAAAAUGUAAACAAACUAAUAAUGUCUGAAGUAAGUUUAUGCAAGAUGCUAGAAAUGAAAUGACACUUGACAUGAGUAAGAUGGAAAAUACCACAAGGGAGUACAUGAGCUUUAUGGAAAAGUUCAGAAGAUGUCAAAAAGUGAAGGUGACAGAGAGCAACAGAUGUCUGCCCCUGGCAUACUGAUGAAAUGAUCACAGUAGCUGGUAUUGCAUUUUGCAAAACAUGGCUACAAAUAUGUCUUGACACCUCUUUGAAACUAACCAUUGUUUAAAAGAGAGAUCAAAGGUGAGAAGUGAACAACUGCAUGCAUAUGAUAUUGCAAUAUGAUAUAAUAGCAUGCAGAACCUGCCAAUCCAUCAUGUCUCUUGUUAUUCAUUUCAUUCAAUCAAGUUAUUUUUUCAUAAUUCCCUGAGAGUUCUUAUGCUGAAGGGCAGGUUAUAUAUUGACAGACCAUCCAUCUAUUCAUUUUUAAAAUGAAUUUUAUUCAAGGAAAACACAAACUAAAACACACAGAGAUACAUUUUAUGUCAAGGACAGAACGCCACAAGAUCAAAGAUAACAGAGUUUAUUGGAUAACAGAACUCAAAAUGCCCGUAAAAUACAAGGGCCAGGCAGUAUUAGCCUUUAAAAGCAAAAAGGGGCAAGGAAAAACGUUCAAAAGAUAAACCGGAUUAAACCGGAGUUUAAUCCGGGUAAAAACAAAACAGCUUGCUUCAGCCUGGGGAUAAACAAAACAGAAGCCGGGGAACAAAGUGUUCAAAAGAAUGCAAUUAAUUGGCAGCAGAUUCCUCUCUGCUGCCAGCACUGUGCUUUGAGUAACUUGAGUCACUCCUCCACACAGCAGGCAAGAUUUCCAAUACACACAGAUCAGCCGAGGAUUGAAGCAGUAGAGUAGACCCAGUUCCUUUCCGUAGUUCAAGCCAGAAGCAGAACUCAAGCCGUGGUCAGUUCAGUCCGAAAUCCAAAGCAGGAGAUGGCGUCCGUCAAGAAGACGACGGAAGGUCAAAGG